This is a long non-coding RNA of Spinacia oleracea (spinach), 2956 nucleotides long. RefSeq lists it as uncharacterized. Lineage: Eukaryota; Viridiplantae; Streptophyta; Magnoliopsida; Caryophyllales; Amaranthaceae. The record is from RefSeq and is a predicted model, not a curated record. The transcript is spliced from 6 exons.
AGAAGGACGACUCGUUUUCGAAUAUUUAAUCAAAUAGGGCGAGUUGAUGUUCGCCUUUUAAUAUCUAACCAAAUAGGGCGAAAGUAAAGAAUUCGCCCUCUUUGAUUAAAAUUAGAUGACGAGUGGUUAAAUUUCACCCUCCUUAAUCAUACUUUGUUCGAUCUGCAGCAACUAGCAAUCCUCCCCCCUAAAUGAUACGGAGUACACUCUAAAGAUUUUCUUUCGUUUUCCCCCAAAAUCCUUUGCAGAGCUCGACCUAUUGGAUUCGUAGCUCUAUUCAAAUUUCUCUCUCUAUCCUAAAUCGCCAACCAAAAACCUUCACAAGUUAUCCAGUAAACCAUGAUUUAAUCGAAAACUGGUCUAAUUGCUCAACUCGUUCGCUGCUCAGUUCGUAAGCUUAAUGAUUUGUUCGAAUAUUGCUCGAUUAUGUUGAAAUUAGGUCAAAUUCCGACUCACUGGUAUAUUCUAUUCUGUUUCAUUAUUUUUUUCAAUUAAUUUUGUGUUUUUUGCUGGUAGAAUUUCGAUUUUGUUGGUAGAUAUCUUAUACAUAUUCUUUUCUCUUGGAUCUCAAUGUCUUUCUAUGAUUUGAUUGAAACAUCUAUUGAAGGUUUUGUUGAAUAUUAUGUGUUUUAAUGGUUUAGUUCAACAAAUUGUGGUUUCUGCUGGCUUUUUAUUUUUUAUUGUUGUCUUUGCAAUUGGCGAUAGAUUACUGAACUCGAUUUUUAUGAUUUUGUGUUUGGGGUGAUUUCAGGUUCGAUAAUUGCGACUUUCAGUAAUAAUUUCUCUCUUAUUUUUCUAAAGUUUUAUUUAUCAGAUGUUUUUGUGAAUUUAUACUGCCUUUUUAAUUGUGCCUUGUUCCCUGAUAUAGUUUGUGUUUAUACGAAUUUUGAAUUUUUAAAGUGUUGCAUCAAUAAUUCAGUAAUUGUUUUAAUGUCCUGUAUAUUAGUUGGGUUUAACUGCAAAAAACAAAAAAAAAAAAUUGAGUGUUUAUCCCAAAAUCUAUUUUAUGUUUGAGAUGAUUUGGUGGAACAACGAGAUGAUAAGUUUUUGGAUUGUUUUUAAAGGCUCUGUUUUGACUGGGUUAAACAUGUGCUAGGUUGAUUAGGCUGAAUUAUAGUUUUUAUAAGCAUGUACUUAUAAACUAGGGUCUCAUUGGUUAGUUUAGAGAAGUUUGUUGAUGCAAAAAGGUGUCUAGACUAUAGAUUGCUUCUGGCAUAUUAGACGAGAAUGAAAAGUUGAAGCCCUUAGAAGUCUUUGAGGCUUGUAUAGAGAUAUCUAUGCAAUACGAGACAGUAAAUGAAUUUGAAACUGCAAAAUCUUUGCGGAGUUCAAAUUCAUUCUCAUACAUCGGCGUUCUUCCCAUCAUCAGGCUGUAAGAACCGAACAUCUUAUCCAGCUGGUAAAAGUGAGGAGACUGCAGCCGUAGUUGAUAUGAAUGUUGAAUUUUUAUAAUGUUGUUGUGUUGCAUCUAUAAUUGAAUGUGAUCGAAUUAAUAUCUUAUUACAUAUUUGUUGUAAUUUCUAUCUGGAUUCAGUUUUUUUGGUGAAUUUCUAUAUGAUUUUGAUGUUACAUUGCCUUCAUGUGUGAGACUAAUGGGAAGCAUAUAGCUUAUCUUCUAUCAAUACUAAGGAUAGUUAGGAACUCUUUGGUUACCAAUUCACUUGUUAACUAUUACUUUUGGGUGUGAUUUACUUCUUGAGCUUGCAAGAAAUUGUUUGUAAGAGAUUAGAAAUGCCAAAUUGAGCAAAUUGUCAGGCUUGUGUAUUAAGAAAGGAGUGAAAUUAAUAUAACAAAGUGCAAUACAAAUUCAUAGAUUUUGAUAUUUUCUUCUUUAUGUGAUUUAUCAUUUAAAUUAGAGCGAGUAUAAGCAUAUUACUUGAGCUUGUAGACUUGUGUAACUGGCUAUAUCAGACAUAUUGUGGUUUAGUCGACUGGGGUUAUAGUGUAGUUAUUUCUUUGAUUCCUAGUCUUUUUCUCUGUAAUGUUUUCUGAUUCUUAGUUUCAUACAUGUUUUUUCAAUUACUUAGCAAUUAGUCUAGACAUUCUUAUAAUGAAAUUUGAAUUAGGGAAGGAUGAUAAAGGCAUAAAGUAAUACAAGAAAAGCCUGAUUAUAUGUUUGUGGAGCAGCAUAGAGAUUACAGGGCAGAUUGAUGUGCAAGAGGGAAUGAGAAAUAAUAUCAAUUGGAUAUAGACGAGAGUAUUGCAAGACGGAAGGAAAAGAGUGAUGUACGUGAACUUAGACGUGUUUAUAAUGGAUAUAAAGAUUAUAUCAUCAGACACACUGGAACUGACGAUUUUACCAACAGAGAUAAGUUAACAAAUGCACGAGCCAUUUCUUCUGUUCUGUAUGAAGUAUUAGUUGCAGUUACAAGUGCAACUGGCCAUCAGCUCCACGGUGAUAGAGGUUCAAACUAUGUCACAUACAAUAUCUUGCCACUGGGUAAUGAUGGUGUUCACCAACCUAUCAUGCAACUCCCUGAUCGAGAUCAAGGUUGCUGUAGCAGCUAUACGCAAUAUUCGUGGUUUACCUUUCAUGGAAGAAUUUAAGAAGCGCAAACCUCUAAGGGCUCCUUUUGACAUAUUUGACUGGCUUGGUUGUCUUUGGGUUUCAGACAGGAAGUGUUGCCAACCAGAGGGAGAUUAGAUGAUUGGAUGUCGGAUUCAUCCUCAGGCAAAUCUUUUCAGGUUCAGUUUUUGGAGCAUCUUAGAGAUUACAGGGCAGAUUGAUGUGCCCACAAUUCCUCUAUCCAUUGCUUUGCAUAUGCUAUAGAUUAGAUGAUUGGAUGUCGGAUUCAUCCUCCGGUAAUUUAUUGUUUAUAGGCUCUAAAACCUGCAAUUUUAUUCCGAUGUUUGUGAUAAUUGUUGUUAAGUACUUGUAGGAAACAAUAAUGUUUGUCCAGAAAACUGUUGGAAUUGUUUAUGAUUCUACUAAAUUCGAACCCCCGAUUCAAGGUUA